CCCUUAGAUGUUCUGGGCCGCACGCGCGCUACACUGAUGCAUUCAACGAGUCCAACCUUGACCGAGAGGUCCGGGUAAUCUUUGAAACUACAUCGUGAUGGGGCUAGAUUAUUGCAAUUAUUAAUCUUCAACGAGGAAUGCCUAGUAAGCGUGAUUCAUCAAAUCGCGUUGAUUACGUCCCUGCCCUUUGUACACACCGCCCGUCGCUCCUACCGAUUGAGUGUGUUGGUGAGGAGUUUGGAUUGGCCUCGGAAGGUGGUUCGCCACCGUCCGUAGCUGAGAAGUUCUCCAAACCGCCCCACUUAGAGGAAGGAGAAGUCGUAACA
This 326-nucleotide ribosomal RNA is filed under the name uncultured eukaryote. RNAcentral's name for it is "partial 18S ribosomal RNA". It matches the Rfam family "Eukaryotic small subunit ribosomal RNA", at positions 1470 to 1796 of the family's 1831-position model. The record is from RNAcentral.